Molecule: ribosomal RNA, 253 nt
Filed under: uncultured bacterium
Lineage: Bacteria
Description: partial 16S ribosomal RNA
Rfam family: Bacterial small subunit ribosomal RNA
Source: RNAcentral
UACGUAGGGGGCAAGCGUUGUCCGGAAUCAUUGGGCGUAAAGAGCGCGUAGGCGGUCCGGUAAGUCCGCUCUGAAAGUCCGGGGCUCAACCCCGGGAGGCGGGCGGAUACUGUCGGGCUAGAGUCCGGAAGAGGCGAGUGGAAUUCCUGGUGUAGCGGUGAAAUGCGCAGAUAUCAGGAAGAACACCCGUGGCGAAGGCGGUUCUCUGGGACGGUACUGACGCUGAGACGCGAAAGCGUGGGGAGCGAACAGG